Haliotis rubra (blacklip abalone) is the source of this 621-nucleotide long non-coding RNA. RefSeq lists it as uncharacterized. The transcript is spliced from 2 exons. The record is from RefSeq and is a predicted model, not a curated record. NCBI's taxonomy places the organism in Eukaryota, Metazoa, Mollusca, Gastropoda, Lepetellida, Haliotidae.
AUAUAAUACUGGAAAUAUGUUAACUCUGAGGUUGGAAAUACGUAAAAUCUGACCAACAAUUGUCAGCAAGAAGCGGGACAAUGACCAAACCGACAAUAAAACUUGGAGAUUUAAGAAACAUUUCUAGGUAUGUUCCAUUACAUGGUAUGUAUAGCACGUACCUCUUCUAGGUAUGUUCCAUUACAUGGUAUGUAUAGCACGUACCUCUUCUAGGUAUGUUCCAUUACAUGGUAUGUAUAGCACGUACCUCUUCUCAGAAACGAUCAACAAUACUCAACUUCUUUUCUUACGGCUUGUUCCAAAUAUUUGGCUUCCUGCCAGACUGAAACAAUCUAAUCUGGGGACUACUGUGGACGGGGCUCUUAAGUUCAGUUAAGUUUAUUUCUUUCGUACAUAUAUCUGCAUGUAUAUAUUUUUAAUUUAAAAAGUUAUCAAACUGUAUAUACUGUACAUAUAUCUGCAUGUAUAUAUUUUAUCAAACUGUAUAUACUGUACAUAUAUCUGCAUGUAUAUAUUUUAUCAAACUGUAUGUACUGUACAUAUAUGCAAGAUGAACUAAACAGGAAAGAGUCUGAUACUCGAGAUAAAUAAAUAACUAAAUAAACAGAACAACAUAACACA